UGGAGAUAGUGGCGCACGGGUGCGUAACGCGUACCAACCUACCACAUCUGGGGGAUAGCCCGCCGAAAGGCGGAUUAAUACCGCAUAAGCUACUUGGCCGGCAUCGGUUGGAUAGUAAAGAUUUAUUUGGAUGUGGAUGGGGUUGCGUGCCAUUAGCU
Molecule: ribosomal RNA, 158 nt
Filed under: uncultured bacterium
Lineage: Bacteria
Description: partial 16S ribosomal RNA
Rfam family: Bacterial small subunit ribosomal RNA
Source: RNAcentral